Molecule: transfer RNA, 70 nt
Filed under: Dionda episcopa (roundnose minnow)
Lineage: Eukaryota; Metazoa; Chordata; Actinopteri; Cypriniformes; Leuciscidae
Description: tRNA-His
Rfam family: tRNA
About the family: Transfer RNA (tRNA) molecules are approximately 80 nucleotides in length. Their secondary structure includes four short double-helical elements and three loops (D, anti-codon, and T loops).
Source: RNAcentral
GUAAAUAUAGUUUAACCAAAAAUGUCAGAUUGUGAUUCUGAAGACAAGGGUUAAAACCCCUUUAUUCACC